Molecule: long non-coding RNA, 320 nt
Filed under: Solanum tuberosum (potato)
Lineage: Eukaryota; Viridiplantae; Streptophyta; Magnoliopsida; Solanales; Solanaceae
Description: long non-coding RNA (STUB_LNC001681)
Source: RNAcentral
UUUGGACGAUCUCUGAUAACUGGGAGUGGGCAGAUGGGUAUGGUCCCAAGUUUGGACUUGUAGCAGUUGAUCGUGCCAAUGAUCUCGCUCGGAUUCCUCGCCCUUCAUACAAUUUGUUUUCAAAGGCAUCCUUCUUUCUGAUAUCUCUUCUUAUUCUUCUUGAUAAUUUUGCUGACAUCUUGAUUUUCAGGUUGUGGAAUCUGGAAAAAUAACGCGGGAAGACAGGGAACAGGUGUGGGGUGAGCUCCAAACUGCUGCUAAAGAAGGAAAAAGGAGGCCAUUUUAUCGAUCAGUGAAUAAAUAUGGCUUAAUGUAUGCAG